UGGGGAAUAUUGGACAAUGGGGGGAACCCUGAUCCAGCGAUGCCGCGUGGGUGAAGAAGGCCUUCGGGUUGUAAAGCCCUUUAGGUUAGGAAGAAAGGUAGAAGGUUAAGAGCUAUUUACUGUGACGGUACUAACAGAAUAAGCACCGGCAAACUCUGUGCCAGCAGCCGCGGUAAUACAGAGGGUGCGAGCGUUAAUCGGAAUUACUGGGCGUAAAGGGCGCGUAGGCGGUGAUACAUGUGUGAUGUGAAAGCCCCGGGCUUAACCUGGGAAGUGCAUCGCAAACUGUGUUACUGGAGUAUAUGAGAGGGUGGCGGAAUUUCCGGUGUAGCGGUGAAAUGCGUAGAGAUCGGAAGGAACGUCGAUGGCGAAGGCAGCCACCUGGCAUAAUACUGACGCUGAGGCGCGAGAGCGUGGGGAGCGAACAGG
RNAcentral lists this ribosomal RNA (429 nucleotides) under uncultured bacterium. Its description in RNAcentral is "bacterial SSU rRNA". It matches the Rfam family "Bacterial small subunit ribosomal RNA", at positions 355 to 776 of the family's 1533-position model. The record is from RNAcentral.